CCCCACGAUCGCAGGAGGACCGAACUCCCUCUCUCUCCCUUUUGGUUUCGCACAGUCCAGGCAGAAUACCCCCGCCCUUUCCCUAUCAUUUUCGUGCGGCGUAGGUCGCAAUCCUCCCCUCGCCGAAGCCAAACUCAACGCCGAGGCUAGGGAUCCCCUGCUCCUGCCACCGCUACUAGUCAUGGAAGCCAGGGCCAAAGUUCCAUUUCACUUGCUCUUCUCCUCUGUUCGGACCGGGCUCCAGGAUCCCAAGCUCCUCUGUUCGAUCCCGCCUCCAGGCUCGAACCCGACGCCAGCUUGACCCUCACCCCAACUACUGGUUUCUCUCCUCUUGCAAGGUGCAUUUCCUUUCCUCUCCUAGUCUUUCUAUUCUUUCAUCCUUUUUCCACCUCUUGUCUUCUUCCUCCUUUCUUCCCUUCAUUCUCCUCUUCUUCUUCCUUCUAAUCUUCUUCUUUUUAUUUAUUCUUCCCUAAUAAAAAGAGGAAUAUGAGUGAUUAUCUUAUGGAUUUCACUAUCAGAUGGCUCUUCUUAUGCUUGCUUUAAUCUCCUUGUUUCUUUGGGAUCUGUUUUGGUUGAUAGAAUUAAAAAAAAAAAAAAGAACUGCUUGGCUUUAGUUUAACUGAUGAAGAGAAUGGAAUUGACAAGUUAACUGGAAUGAUUCUUCAUUACUCUUUGCUUGAGUUUGGUAUGCACAUAGUAUUUAGUUGCUUUCACCCUUAAAAUUGUAAACGAUAUAUCUUUAUGUUCUUUUAUAAGUCAGUGAUAUUCUCCUUGUUGAUAAAGUUAGAUAUGAAGUCUUGAAUAAAAGAAGGGAAGCUUGUUUGCAUUGUUUGGGUGGAGAUUAUAUUCUCCUCAUUAUUCUGUCUAGAAGGAUUAAAAGUUAUGUCUUGACGAUUAUUUGCACUAAGAUGUUGAAGUUCUAAAUUAUUCUAUGGAGAUUUGUUCUUUUCUUUUAUACGCACGUAUGCUUUGUGUCCAAGUCAUUUUGAUGAAGUUUUAUGGUUGUGUUUUGGGUUGAAAAAAUCAAGGAGAAACCAUGCAUUGUUUCCCCAAAAUCCCCUUUCACCUUAGCUUCCCUUGCUCCUCACUUUAAUUUAAGGCCUUGCGGAUGGUUGGGUUGAAGACAAGUUACAUUUAUACAAGUUUGCUUUGGCCAAAACUGAAAAUUAAAUGCAAGUUUUAUGGUGUAUAUGUCAUUACAUAUAUAAUCCUCUUAUUCCUAUGGAAUACGUUCAUUCGUUAUGCUAAAUCCUAUAAUGGCUUGUGAUGAUAGUAGUUGAUUUAGUCACAACGUAUUGAUUUAUACUUCUAUCCAAUGUGUUGACUUACCUUGUUUUGGAAUGGACAAUUAGUAUAUGAAACUUACAUUUGCCUUAUGAUUUAAAACUUUAGGUGUAAAUGGUGGCAAGUCUUGAGAAGCCACGUUAUUUCUUUACUAAAACAUGCAUGUCAAGUGUUUGUAUUAAUGCCUAUUGGGAAACAGUGGAAGUUUUUCUUUAAAAAAAAUGUGGCAAGCAAACAUAGUUUUAUUCCGUUUCAACUUCGCAUGAGUUAUGAGUAAUUAGAAGUAUGCCUAAGCUAAAGGAAUGAGGAGUAGACAUGCUUGCAUGGUACUGCACCUAUAUUUCUAAGAGCAUCUAUGAAUUUGGAAAAGGUAAAGAUCUUGUUUAUUUAUAAAACAGUGACAAUGUAUAAAGUGAUCUUAUAACUCGAUUCAUGAGGGUUUUAUGAAUGGUUGGAAACAGUUAAAACAAAAAUGCAUAGCUAUUUUAAAUCUACAUAUCCAUGUAGUUUACAUCUUAAGGUCAUGUUUGUAUUUAUGAUGGAAGUGUGGAUUACUUAUAAUUAAGAGAAUGGUAUUUUAGUAUCAUGUAUAAGUCAUAUGAUCCAUGGAAUUAGAAAGUUAUGAUUAUAUGUGGCAUUGUUCUUGUUUCAAUUUCGAUAAAGUGCUAAAGCAUAUCUUGUUUAUAUGAUUGAUUUAGUUAAUAGAAGAAUGUGAAAUCACUUCUUAGUGCGUGAAAUAUGUCAUUUAGUUGGUGAAGUAAAGGAGUUAAAAGCUGCAACAAUCAUAUCAUAGUGAUUUCAUUUAUAUGCACUCAUGGAUUUUAGCAUGGUAUGGAUAUUCAAUUUUUUGCGACGUGAAAUCUAGUAUUCAUACUCUGCAAUUUUUUUUAUUUCUCGAUCAUGAAUAUGUAAUUCAUUUCUGAACUUGUUUGGAAAGACAUGAUGGUUUUAUAGAGAUCUUAUGCUUAGUGGAAUUUAUAAAUUUAGGUUGGAAAGAUUAGUCUGCGUAUUCCAUAGCAUAUGAUGCGAGUGUUCCAAUUCUUUUUUUUUUUUUGGAAACAAAUUAGAUGUAGAUUUUGAUUCACUUUAUGCUCCAAACUAUUUUUGGUAGAUGAAUUUAUGAGAAUAUUUAUAUGCUUUCUUCUUUGGAGAAGAUUUUUUAGCUUGUUGGAAUUAUUGAGGCGUAUAUUCUUUGAAUAUAUGCAUUGUGCUUGAAGUAAGAAAUAGAUUUAUGUUUCUUUUAUGAUAACACAUCAAGUGCUUGUUUGGCCUUUUUGUGUUAUAUUGGUUGGGAGAACUUUACAUAUGUUUCUAUAAUAAAAUGGUUUCAUUAGUGGAGUUUGGAGAAAGUAUUAAAUGAUCAUAAGUUUUACAUCCCUUUUCGUUACCACGUAAGCAUAACAUUGGCAUUGGGCUUUGGCAAGAAUCAUUGUUGUGGGAAUACAAACCUUAUCACAUGGGAAAUGUAGCCUAAUGCAUGAAUUGUUAUAGAUUUUAUUGUUCGCCAAAUUACGCAUUUGCAAGCUUUCUUGAAUUUUUUUAAAGGCAUAUGGCAUGCGUUGUUUCCUUUUAUGUUUGUCACACCCCAGUUUGCCUUUCUUAAUGGUUAAAAUAUUAUUACUAAUUCUUAUACAUUGCUUAUGUAUUUCAUUUGGUCAUAGCUUAUUGGCAAUGGUUGUAUUGCAGACAAGGGAAAGGAGUUCGUAAGGAAUUAAAGGGGUGACUGUUCUUUUUUGGUGUACAUAUGUUUUGGGUGUACAAAUGGUCUAAAAAGAGAUCUGAACAAUAGCUAUGCAAACUUUUUGGAUAUUUAAUAGAUUUCCUUCUUUGUUAUACUCCAGUUCUAAUUUGGGGUGUGACAGUGUUGAUGAAGGCAUGAUAGCUUGAAGUAACCUAGAGCUUCUAACACUUGUGGUUAAUUUGUAGAGUCAAGUUUUGUGUUCACUCUUGAAUGUUCAAGCUCUCUUUCUUUAUGUCUCCCUCUCAUUUUGGGUUCUUGUUCAAAGGAAUUUUUCUAGAGAAUAAACCUAUUGCAUUAAGUAUGUCUUGGGAGAGAAAUUUGUUGUAUUACUUGUAGACAAUUGUAUUCGGAAAGAUAUUUCGUGGGCAACUAUUCUUGGAGAAAUACUCAUGUAUUUUCUCUCUUGAACGAGUUUGCAUAGAUUCAAUAUGAUUUUUGUUUUGAGUGUAAUACCAAAUCAAGACUUAGAGAGCAAUGAGGUUGCAUCAAGUCUUCUUCUUCCUAGCAAUAUUUGGUGGAAUGGUGAUUUGGGAAGGUUGGUGUGUAUAAGUUUGUGGUGAGUCAUGCUUGUUAAAAGAUUAACAUGUGUGAAUUUGUUUUGUUUCGUUUAUAUGGGAGUCUUUCUCCCAUUGUUGCACUUUGGCAUUUCUUUUUGGUCAGAUUGUUCCUCAGUUUGUAAGCCUUUCUAGAAAGCUCUCUUUCUUUGAAGAAUUGAUGCUUUAAAAUGGUUUUUUUUAUAGUUUUGUGAAUGUUUUAUAACAAAAAUCUUAUGAAAAUUUCUUUUGGUUUACCCCACACCAAAAAGCACUCGUUAUUUGUUUUGUGUCGAAAAGUGCUUUGGUGGGUUUCUUAUAAAAAAAAAAUAAGAGAAAAUUUUAUGUGCCGUUUCAUUUGAAAAGUUUUACAAAUUAUUUUGGGAUUUAGAGCUUUAUAAUUAGCUUUAAGUUGAAAGGCUCUUUGAUGUCUUUUUAGAAUGAAAUGAUAUUUUGUAUGUGAGUUGUCUUUCUUCUCUUUGUGUUUGCUUCUAGAGUUAAAUUUAAAUAAAUGUGGAAUGAAAACUCGUUUGGGUUUUAGUUUUGGGAAUUUGUCUUCCCUUUGCUACUUUGAGCUUUAUUUAGGAAAUAGUGUGUGUGUGUGUUUCGAGGGUUUGUUUUCUGAAUGUGGGAAGAGUAAAAUAAUAUCAAAUUCACCUUUCUCUUAUUCAUGUUUGACUCGAAUGCUGAAGUCGAGUAAAGAAUGGGUGUGAGGCAUGAUUGACUUUGAAAAGACAUGCCAGAUAAUAAAGAUGCUUACAUACCUUUCUUUUUAUUUAUUUCUUUUUUUUUGAUAUUUUGUUGGGGCUUUAUGUGAAUUAUUUCUUUAUAGCGUUUGCAAUCAUAUUGGAAUACUUUCUUUUAAACUUUAGGGGAGAACGAACUUGCACCAAAUUAGCUUUCUCACAAUUAUAACCUAGUAGAGAUUUAACAUUAGCAAAACUACUCGCUUGUUGCUUUAUUUUGGAAAUGUGUAGUCUUUAUUUUUGUUAUGAAAAAGCAUGUGAUUUCGUUGUAGUGACUUUAGUAGAAAUGUAAAGAACAAUUUGGCAUGCACCCAAAAAUUUUUUUAUGACUUUCCUAAACAUCUUUUUCUAGAUUCUAUUAGCUCUUGAUUUGCAACAUUAUAUGUUUUGGCAUGAGAUCAUAUUUGCAAGUUUAAGUUGUUCUUUUGAAACUUUUUGGUGACAUAUAGAAUGCAGUUGUAAACCAUGCUUUGCAUCCAAUAGAAGUUGUAGGAAGUUUAACAUGUAAUUGUUUCAAAUAUGAGUUUCUUAUAGAAUUUAUUUAAUGUUGCAUGGUGUGUGUUGGAAGUGCAAGUUUUGGGGUGGUUGUUGGAAGAAGGGAGAGGUGGUAGCUCUCUUUUCUUCUCAAUCUAUCCUCUCCUUUCUUUAUUGUUUUCUCUCUACUUGUGUCUUAUGAUAAAAUACAGCACUUCCAAAAUUCAAAGUUCUAAAAGACUAGCAAUCAAGUUGGUGUCCAAGCAAAAAAAAGAGAGAAAUUUUGCGAGGCGAUUUUUGGAGAGCAAAGGGGAAGAAGCAUUGGAGCACUAGGCGAAGGAGUAUGGACAGUCGGAUCUGAACAUCAGUCUCCCCUAUUCAGUCUAGUAUGGGCGCUACGGGCAGAACCACCGGGUCAUAGCCCUCGGUGUUGUAGCCGUGCGUACACAUAACUAUUACAGGUGUUUCAGUUGCUUAGCCCUCAAAUAAAUAGAGCACGGCCCCCAAAUAAAUAGUGUGAUUGACUUGAGUAUUUUAUUUUCAUAUAUAUAACUGCUUGGAUGAUUGAUUAUAACUAUUUAGAAUAAUCAUGCAUGAGAGUCUAGAUUUUUUAUUUUUCUAAUGUAAUUCAUUCAGUGUCAAGAGUUGUGAAAAUAAGUAAAAUAAGAUAUUUUUAAAUAUAGAGGGGUUCAAAUAAAAAAGAAAAUCUCUUAUAAUAAAUUUCAUUUUUCAUUUGGGCAUCCUUUUGGAGGACGCAAUACAAGGAACCCGAAGGAAGGAAGAUGAUCCAUAGAUGAAUCAAGAGAGUUAGGAUGGAGAUCGAGAUAAAAAUGCUUUAUUUUAAGAUUUACGUCGUUCUCUAGGAGUAGAACCCGAGUUAUUGUCGGCGGAGCCCGGCCACCACUACAUUUUUGCACUCUGAUUUGUAUAUUGUAUGGCAUUUGUCAUGAACUUUGGACACUCUCUUUAUUAUUAUUAUUUUGUUGUGAUGGUUUGUUUACUCUAUUUGUGCAGUAGAACUGACAUGAUUUUUAUAGGUUUGUUUCUUGUAUGCACAUGUGCCUAACUCGCUAGGCUCUUAGGGAUAAAAUUCUUCUACUCAUAAUUAAUAAUAAAUUUUUAGGAAUUAAAUAACAUAGAAACAUAAUGAUUUAGGAAAUAGCCGGAAUCAUUCAGGGUCGCAUGCAUAUCAAUGUAUUUUCUCUUCCUUAUUUAGACACUUCCCCACCUGCGGGUAGAGUCCGGAUAAUCUGGCCUAUGAGGAUGAAGUGUCGGACUUGGGGAAGCUUAGUUUUUUUAAAAAAAAUUAUUUUUAUAAGCUCUUUUUAAAAUUUCAAGCAUAUUUGAUUUGGAGAUUUUAAUCCGCACGCAUUGCAUUAGUAAUCAACUAAAAUUAAAAUUUAAUUAUAUUAGUUUUAGAUGCAUAACACCAUUCAUAAGUAUGAGGCAACUUAGGAACUUCUCUAGAUGUCGGCCUCAAAUUCCAAAAAUUUAUAUACCCACCCAUCUUUCACAUGGAUCGAAAAUCAUGGAUUGUAUACGACUAUGUGGUUUUAGUUAUCUUUCUUUUUUAGGCAAGAUAUAAGUCCAGGCUGUAUUAGUUAGGUCGUGGAUGUUAGUAUCGUAUGUACGAUACUACAUUUACAGAUUUAGAAUCUAAGACUAUGGUAUGAGUGUACCGCUGUAUGUCUUAUCGGUGGGUAAGCUCUUAUCUUUCAGGGGCUAUAAAUCUUAUCCAUUCGUAUCAUAUGGAUGACAUCACCUCCCUCUUUUUCUCACGCAUGUUUGAAUGUAAUUGUUUUCUUUUUCUCCAGUUUCCUCUUCCUUAGACCGAUCGAGUGAUAAUUGAGCCAUGCAUGAUUGAUUAAACCAAAUUGAGCCUAUCUUUCCCUUUGAUUAAGAAAGCCUAUAAAUUUCUCUUACGCACUAAACCCAUUUGAGAGAAUAAUACAACAUCCUUAAUCGAGAGUUUUUUUAGGUCAAGAUUUAAGAUGUAAUUAACCACGGGGGUUUGUGCCCGUGGGAAACAGAUCCCCACAUCAAAUAAAUCCUAUUCAAGCUGAUGUAUUAAAUAUGGAAAAUCUCAUGACUUUGAUUAGGUUAUACAUAUUAUUAUCCAUCGAUGUGUGUAGGUGAAAGCCGCUACCCACCAUGAUUAAUCGUAUAUAUAAUCUCAUAUGCUCUCCCAUUGGCAUGAGUGUAAAGGCCUAUGAUCGUUUUGUCCUACAUGAUAGUGCGAUCGUACUCUUUGCAUUCGUUUCACGUAAGCAGAAUCUUUUUGGAGACUCACAGUGUCGACUCACAGCGACUUUGGUUAGAAGAGGAGAGCAGCUAAAGUUCAUAACUUGUUGGAAAAGUUUAUAGCUUUAUGGGCUGGCUUCCAUAUUUCUGGCUUUUAUUUAUUAAAAUCCUAACUAAAACUAUUUAAGUUUUUUAUUAUAGCUUUAAGAGCUCAUUUAAUUGGUUGUAAAAUGCAAAGCAAGCUUUAGAAAGUCAUGUUUUUUUAUUUCAGCCAUUUUGAGAGACAAGCUGAAAUCCUCACUUUGAGGAAUUAAAAUAAAAUGCAUAGUUUUUCAAAAAAAAAAAAAAAAAAACUUUCUAACUCGAAGAAAUCAUAAAUCUUAUAUUUAAUAUUGUAAAUUAUUUGUGGUUUACUAUCUUAUAUUUAAUAUUAUACAAUUUUGGAUAAUAAUUAAAAAAAAUUAAAACUAUCUAUGCCGGUCUCACUUUGAGGAAUUAAAAUAAAAUGCAUAGUUUUUCAAAAAAAAAAAAAAA
Molecule: long non-coding RNA, 7553 nt
Organism: Dendrobium catenatum
Lineage: Eukaryota; Viridiplantae; Streptophyta; Magnoliopsida; Asparagales; Orchidaceae
Exons: 3
Source: RefSeq, a predicted model, not a curated record